UGGGGAAUCUUGCGCAAUGGGCGAAAGCCUGACGCAGCAACGCCGCGUGAGGGACGACGGCUUUCUGAGUUGUAAACCUCUUUCAGCAGGGACGAUGAUGACGGUACCUGCAGAAGAAGCACCGGCCAACUACGUGCCAGCAGCCGCGGUGAUACGUAGGGUGCAAGCGUUGUCCGGAUUUAUUGGGCGUAAAGAGCUCGUAGGCGGUUUGGUAAGUCGGAUGUGAAACCUCCAGGCUCAACCUGGAGCCGCCAUCCGAUACUGCCAUGACUAGAGUCCGGUAGGGGACCAUGGAAUUCCUGGUGUAGCGGUGAAAUGCGCAGAUAUCAGGAGGAACACCGGUAGCGAAGGCGGUGGUCUGGGCCGGAACUGACGCUGAGGAGCGAAAGCGUGGGGAGCGAACAGGAUUAGAUACCCCCGUAGUCC
This 426-nucleotide ribosomal RNA is filed under the name uncultured bacterium. RNAcentral's name for it is "bacterial SSU rRNA". It matches the Rfam family "Bacterial small subunit ribosomal RNA", at positions 355 to 796 of the family's 1533-position model. The record is from RNAcentral.